AGGGACUUAGGCUAAAUUUAAACCAAGGGCCUUCAAAGCCCUAAACGGGGGUGAAAACCCCUCAGCCCCUG
This is a non-coding RNA of Betta splendens (Siamese fighting fish), 71 nucleotides long. The record is from the annotation of a RefSeq genome assembly. NCBI's taxonomy places the organism in Eukaryota, Metazoa, Chordata, Actinopteri, Anabantiformes, Osphronemidae.